This 398-nucleotide ribosomal RNA is filed under the name uncultured bacterium. Its description in RNAcentral is "bacterial SSU rRNA". It matches the Rfam family "Bacterial small subunit ribosomal RNA", at positions 1106 to 1504 of the family's 1533-position model. The record is from RNAcentral.
UGUCCUUAGUUGCCAGCGGUUCGGCCGGGCACUCUAGGGAGACUGCCGGUGACAAACCGGAGGAAGGUGGGGAUGACGUCAAGUCCUCAUGGCCUUUAUGUCCAGGGCUACACACGUGCUACAAUGGCGCGUACAGAGGGACGCCAAACCGCGAGGUGGAGCAGACCCCAGAAAGCGCGUCGUAGUUCGGAUUGCAGUCUGCAACUCGACUGCAUGAAGUCGGAAUCGCUAGUAAUCGCGGAUCAGCAUGCCGCGGUGAAUACGUUCCCGGGCCUUGUACACACCGCCCGUCACACCAUGGGAGUAGAUUGUACCAGAAGCGGCUAGCCUAACCUUCGGGAGGGCGGUUACCACGGUAUGGUUUAUGACUGGGGUGAAGUCGUAACAAGGUAACCGUA